CCCUUAGAUGUUCUGGGCUGCACGCGUGCUACAAUGGCGCUUGCAACAAGAUUGCCAACCCGAAAGGGUGAGCGGAUCUUUGAAGUGGCGUCGUGAUCGGGACAGUUGAUUGCAAUUAUUCGACUCGAACGAGGAAUUCCUUGUAAUCGCGAUUCAUCAUAUCGCGCUGAAUACGUCCCUGCCCUUUGUACACACCGCCCGUCGCUCCUACCGAUUGAGCGAUCCGGUGAAUGUUUUGGACUGGUGUCCGCAAGCGUUUCGCUUCGGACGCUACGAAAUUUUGUAAACCUUAUCGCUUAGAGGAAGGAAAAGUCGUAAC
Molecule: ribosomal RNA, 319 nt
Filed under: uncultured eukaryote
Lineage: Eukaryota
Description: partial 18S ribosomal RNA
Rfam family: Eukaryotic small subunit ribosomal RNA
Source: RNAcentral